AACCCAGGCACCUCCCCGCGCUCAGUUCCGCCGUCCUCGACCGGUUCCUGCUCGCCCUCGCCCACACAAGUCCCUCGUCGCGCCGCCGUCGUCAAGUCCCUGCCGUGGCUCUACUUUCUGACGAGAACAGGGCGAGGUGCCCGCUCGCCUGUUCCUUCCCCGUUGACUUUUCAUCAAUGGAUUGCAGCGCCCAGGCCCAUCGCGCCAGCCUCCCUAGUUCACCGUCGAACUGGGCCCAAGGCCUCAAAGGCCCAUUGUGAGCAGCUCCCAAAUCCGCCCAGAUUCAGCCUGCCUAUAUUUUUUUCGUGCCCUGUGAAUUUGUCUAUUUAUCCAGGAGUUUGCAGUUUUACAGAAAAGCCCUCAUACAUCAUGCAUAUAAUAACUUAACAACCGUGCAUCGGUUUAAAAUGACUUAUAUAUGAAACAUGACUAGAAUUUCAUCUAGUUUCGUAAUAUGUCAUUUUCAUCCAUGUUUAAAAUGUUGUUUGUUUAAAUUUUCUUAAAUAACUUGCUAAAAUGAUUUAUUUCAUAACUAAAUAACCGUAGCUCCGAAUUUAACAAACUUUAUAUGUAAAUGGGGUAGAAUUUUGCAUAGUUUAACAUGGUGCACUCUUCUUGCAUGUUUAACAACUAUAAAAUUGUGUUUAGGGCAGAACAGUACCAUAAUCAAAAUAUGCACAUGAGGAGUUUCCGGACUUGUUGUUUGUUGUUCCGGCCUCAUUUAACCUCGCCUAGAUAGGUAGUUUUCAUUUGCUUCACCUCUUGCCAUGUUAAGCAACAUUUAAUAUUGUUGGGUACGUAAACAAGAUCGAACUAAAUAACUUGUUGUGGAGUUUCGUCACUAUGCAACUCGUUGCAUAUUGAGCUCCACUUACCAUGUAGUUUUGCUUGUGCACUUUGCCAUGCCAUGAAUCAUUAAACCGGACAUGCAUCAAACUUGGUUGUGCAUCAUGCGAUGUUUAUGUGGUGGUUGUUUACUAUGUUGUUUGCUUCUUUCCGGUGUUGCUUCUUCGGGUUGGUUCUGAUAACAUCGUGAUUGUGAGGACUCGUUCGUCUACGUCCGUUUGUCUUCUUCAUUGACUCGUUCUUCUUCCUUGCGGGAUUUCAGGCAAGAUGACCAUACCCUCGAAAUCACUUCUAUCUUUGCUUGCUAGUUGCUCGCUCUUUUGCUAUGCCUAUGUUGCGAUACCUACCGCUUGCUUAUCAUGCCUCCCAUAUUGUUGAACCAAGCCUCUAACCCACCUUGUCCUAGCAAACCGUUGUUUGGCUAUGUUACCGCUUUGCUCAUCCCCUCUUAUAGCAUUGUUAGUUGCAGGUGAAGAUUGAAGUUUGUUCCUUGUUGGAACAUGGACAUGUUGUUCCUUGUUGGAACAUGUUUACUUGUUGGGAUAUCACAAUAUAUCUUAUUUAAUUAAUGCAUCUAUAUACUUGGUAAAGGGUGGAAGGCUCGGCCUUAUGCCUGGUGUUUUGUUCCACUCUUGCCGCCCUAGUUUCCGUCAUAUCGGUGUUAUGUUCCCGGAUUUUGCGUUCCUUACGCGGUUGGGCUAUAAUGGGAACCCCUUGACAGUUCGCCUUGAAUAAAACUCUCCAGCAAUGCCCAACCUUGGUUUUACCAUUUUCCUCACCACCACCUACUUUUCCCUUGGGAGUCGCUCUCUCGAGGGUCAUCUUUAUUUUAACCCCCCCGCCCGGGCCAGUGCUCCUCUGAGUGUUGGUCCGAACUGAGCUGCCUGCGGGGCAACCUCGGGGAAACUUGAGGUUUGGUUUUACUCGUAGCUAGUCUCAUCUGAGUGUGCCUUGAGAACGAGAUAUGUGCAGCUCCUAUCGGGAUUUGUCGGCACAUUCGGGCAUUGUUGCUGGAUUUGUUUUAACUUGUCGAAGUUGUCUUGUAGAACCGGGAUACCGAGUCUGAUCGGAAUGUCUUGGGAGAAGGUAUAUCCUUCGUUGACCGUGAGAGCUUGUCAUGGGCUAAGUUGGGACUCCCCUGCAGAGAUUUGAACUUUCGAAAGCCGUGCCCGUGGUUAUGGGCAGAUGGGAAUUUGUUAAUGUCCGGUUGUAGAAAACCUGAAGUUGACCUUAAUUAAAACACAUCAACCGCGUGUGUAACCGUGAUGGUCUCUUUCCGGCGGAGUCCAGGAAGUGAACACGGUGUUGGAGUUAUGCUUGGCGUAGGUUGCUAUAGGAUCACUUUUUGAUCAUGGUUCUUCAUUCGUGCUUUGCCUUCUCUUCUCUCUCUCUUUUGCGAACAGGUUAGCCACCAUAUUUGCUAGUCGCUUGCUGCAGCUCCACCUCAUACAUUUACCUUACCCAUAAGCUUAAAUAGUCUUGAUCGCGAGGGUGCGAGAUUGCUGAGUCCCCGUGACUCACAGAUACUUCCAAAACUAGCUUGCAGGUGUCGUGGAACCAUGCAUAUGACGCAACUAAGCUCAAGGAGGAGCUCGAUGAAGAUCUUGUCCUUUAUGUUGUUCUGCUUCCAGUUGAUCAGUAGUGGAGCCCAGUUGGGGUCGAUCGGGGACCUUGUCGCAUUUGGGGUUCUUCUUUUAUUUUGGUUCCGUAGUCGGACCUUGAUUGUAUUUGGAUGUUGUAAUGCUUUAUUCAUGUAUUUGUGUGAAGUGACGAUUGUGAUCCAACUAUGUAUCUAUUUCCCUUAUGUAUUACAUGGGUUGUGUGAACAUUACCUCACUUGCAACAUUGCUUUUAAUGCGGUUAUGCCUCAAAGUCGUGCUUCGACACGUGGGAGAUAUAGCCGCAUCGAGGGCGUUACAAGUUGGUAUCAGAGCCUUCCCCGACCUUAGGAGCCCCCACUGCUUGAUCGAAUUAGCGGACGAGUUGAGUCUAGAAAUUUUUUUGAGUCAUCUAGGAAUUAUAUAUCGGAGAGUUUAGGAAUUCUUUUUACUCCCCAGUCCCUUCAUCACUCUGGUAAGGCAUCCUGACGUACAGUUUUGACUCUUCUCUUCUCAAAUUUCACUAAAUUUUUUUAGGAUCACGCGGGUAUCUUGGAAUCGUUCCGAUCGAUUUGUGACGAGAACAUUGUUCUGGGUGCCUCCUGUCAUUUAGGGGUUGUGGCAGUGUCCGGGGGAGUUGAGCUCCGAGGUGUUGUCGUCACAAUUUUAUCGUUGCAGUUCUGGAAUACCUGACUUUAGUUUCGCCGACAUUGAAAAUCUCUUUUAUGUAGUUGUUGGUGAGAUAACCUCGACGCCACCCAGUACUGGGGCGGGAGUUUGGGAGUAUUUCCAUAACUCGUAUAACGGAUGCUUUUCAAAGGUUGAGGUAAACGAUUUCUAAAGGUUUCUUGGUUAUGUGUUGAAGGAUGGAUGCAACUGGAUGUAGGAUUUGCUAGUUUUGGGUGAGAUAUUAUGCUUCCCCUGUAUCCCCAACACCUGAUUGCAUAACCGGAAAGGUUCGGGAGUUUCAUAGGUGGGAAUUCAAGUAGCUCGUAGGAUAUCUUUCCGACAGAUGUAUGAUAUGAAAUUGGGGUUCUACGUCUAGUUGUCCGCCUAUUCACGGUUGGUUUUACAGUGGUCUCGUUGUGUCUUAAAGAGUCCUUGGCUAUGCCGACUCGGGGACGCUUCGUAUGUCAUGUGCAUUGCCUUGUACAUGAUGGUGCUGUACGAUCGAGCCCGUGUAGGCCCCACCACGAAAACUUCAGACGAAAUCUCUAUCAUAUGUUUUUUCCGGCUUAUUUUGCAUGCCAAUCCUUUGUUUUGUUUUGAGUUGUGUUAUUCGAGUUGCUUCAGUGUCAAGUAUUGACUCCAUACCUUCUCUAAACGGUGUUCUCAUACUCCGAUGUGAAUACCAAUGCUCAUGAUAAUCGAGAUUGUCAUGUCAAUCCUUUUCAACCGACGUGUUUUCUCUUCAAGUGGAUUCGUCCAUUUUCAACAUCCGCAAGCUCGAGUAUCAGUUCUUCUCAACGGUGUUUGCUUCAUCCGUCUUCAAGUUGUCUUUGUUUUCCCGCCCUCCCACCCUUAUUUCUUCAAGGACUCAGAUUUCUUAAUCAAGUAUCUUUUACUCUUGUGAAGUUUCUCCAUCCUUUUCUCGUCAAUGUUCUUAUCCGGUGAUUCUCAUGAAGCUUCUAAUGGAGCUUCAAGCUCAUCAUUCUUCGUUCUUUUUCUUCUCCGGUGGUUUCAAUUCAAGUUUUUUUAGUGUUGAUCAUAUUACUUUUCUUGUUUCAAAUAUUUUAUCAUGCCGGUGCACCUCAUUACCAUCCACUUCUCGCUAUUCAAUUGUUCCGGAGUGCUCUAGAUAUCUCGGAGAUUCGUGUUUUCCACUCUGCAUCCGUUAAAGAUCUUUGGAGGUUGUUAUCUCAUUCUAGCCAUUUAAUUCAACCGGUGCAAUCUCAGUUUCUAGUAAUCGUUCUACGGUGUAUCUUUUGAGUGGGCCCUAAGCCACAGAUCUUUUUCCAAGAUCUUACCUAACUCUUCUUAUUUUCCCAGAGCUAUCCUCAAUUUUUUUUCAAAGUUUGACGUAAGAAUGAUUCAUCAUCAGUCAUAUGUUUUCUCCAAAUUCUUUCAAAUUCUUUUCAUCGUUGGCUCAACCUCUCCUCUUUUAAUCAUUCUGGAGUGUCUCAACAAUUUGGUGGUGUUUCUCAUCGUCAUUCUCAGAUUUUGAAGGCCGAAGAAGAGUUUCUUUUAAAUCUUGCCCCAUUCUCUGCCAUUCUCCCAUAAUUGUUUCGGUUGUGAGAAUUUCUUUUCACCCAUCCAGAGUAAUUCAGGAGUCUUUUCAGUUUGAUUAUCCGGAGCCCACCAUCUAAGAUUUAUUCAUUCCAGCUUUUAGCUCUCAUACUCUAAAUCAUACCGGUGCUUAAAUCAAGGAUGCUCUAAUCAGCUCGUAAUCUCUUCGUUCUCAUGGAUCUAAAUUCUCUCAAGCAACUUCGUUUAAUGGCUAACUCUUCCCGGUGUUUCUUCAUGUUUUAGUCGUUUUUUUAAUUCUUCCCGGUGUUUCUUUAUAUUUUUCAUUGUUCAUUUUCAAUUCUUACGGUGGUUCGUUCAGGAUUUCUCUUCCUUCUUUAUCAUAUCAGUUCAUUCGUUGUUUAGAUUCUACCGGUGGAUCAUCGAAGACCUUCUCAAAUUUAUAAUAUACCUCUCUUAAUUUUUUCUACGAGAAUAAGUAGUAUGCCAAAUCCGUUGCUUGUCAUCAAUCUAAAUUGGUGAAGGAUAAGUAUAAUGCAAUUCGUAUUCUUCUUUCAUCCAAGUGAUUAACUCCUUAUUUCGGAGGCUCAUCAAAUUCUCGGUUUCAUAUGUUUCAUCUUUUCUUUUACCGGAGUUCCAAGCCCUCUCAACUAUAUCGUCACGAAGAUCCAUCUAAUCAUUGCAAGGGUUCAACUUGUGUUUUCAACUUCUCCUUCAUUCCGUUUUGAUCAUCCUUUCGUUACCGGAGUUCUUCAUGGAGGUUCGACAUAAUGUUCCAUCAAGGAUUUAAUUCCUUCUCCAUGUUUUUCAUCGAGAUUCUCUUCUAAGAAGCUCAAGCUUUAUUCUUCUUGCAAUCUGGAGUGCAUUUGUUCUCUCUUAUCUUCUUGAGAUGGUAUUAUGUCAUUCUUGAUAAGUUGAGUUCAUGUUUCAUGAUUCACAGGUUGUUAAGAAUGGGAUAUUUUAAAUCCAUCAACCUCUUCGUUGGAGCUAUCUUGGGUUAUAAUUCACCUAAAGCUUUCCCUAAGGAUUGUUGCUAUUUACGGUGCUUAUAAAUGAUCCAAGUUCUCAUUUAUCCUCCCGGUGAAAUAAGUUUCUCGUCUCCUCGUUGACGUCAAUCCAAUCUUUUGUUUCGUUAGUGGCAGAAUUUCACCUCAUAAUUUGAGAUGUAUUCCAUAAGACCAUAUCAAGCUUAUCCUUUUCGUUGUUGAUUUUUCCAACAACUCCGUUCGAACCUUCUCCUAAAGAUGCUUUGGCAAGCUCAUUUUGGGGUAGAAGGUAUUGUUACUCCUCCAUUCAUUCCAUUCCAUCCUCUCUUUUCUUCCGGAGGUAUUGUGAUGUUUCUCAUUUCUCUUUUCAUCUCAAGUUACCAAGAUCAUGAACUUUUCAUGCUUAUCCUUUUAACCGUAGUGUUGUGCCCUUUGCUCAAGUUCUCUUCGCCUUAUCAAGUCUUGCAUCCCUUCUCAACCGAAGUGCUAUCCGAAUUGGUUCUUUCUUUUCCUUUGUCUUAACGAAGUGUUUUCAACUUCGUUCAUCUCCGUUGCAUUUUUUUCCUUAAAUUUGUUCAACAUCUAAAGGUUCUUUGGUUUCACUCGUUUGUCAAAGGAGCAACUUAGAUUUACCUCUUCUCUUUCUCUUCUGUUUUCCCUCCGGUGCCAUUCUAGAUCUCGGGAUGAGAUCCUCUCGUAGUGGUGGAGUGUUGUGGUGCCCCGAGACCGUUGUGUCAGGUGUCUUCCGGUGUUUCGUUGUUGUUGCCUAGUCAUUUGCUUGCGUGUCGCAUCUUGUCAUGUCAUCAUGUGCAUUGCAUCAUCAUGUUUUCGAAACUUCCAUGCGUCCCGGCCUCCUCGUUCUCUCUAUUGUCCGUUCUGAGCCCAGACACACUUGCACGCUCCCGCGGCAUGUCCGAAAUAUUAUUUUAUAAGUGGCCGGAAAAUGUUCUCGGAAUGGGUUGAAAGUUGGCGUGCGGUCUUAUUAUAGUGUAGAUAGACCGCCUGUCAAGUUUCAUCGCGUUAGGAGUCCGUUUGAUGCCCCAACGAUUAACUAUAGCGGCAUUAUAGCCGGUCUAACGUCGGACGUUUUCGGUCUCCGGAAACAGAUGCCGGGCCCUCCCUCUCUCUUCUCCCCCUCGCAGUCUCGCCACAGCCCACCUAGUCCAUCCUCCUUCCCCUCUUCGCUUCCGGAGUUGUCCGAUGCGACCGCACGGUCCGAAACCCUCUCUGCUCAGUGCAUCAAACACCCCUCGCGCGCGCGUCAAAAAAGCUGUCCCGGACCCGACCCGGAUUGUCGCCACCGUUGUGUCCGGAUCAUCCUCAAACAUCUACAAAACAUCACCUUUUCCUUGUUAGGACUUCCUAACCUAUAUUUUCUCAGCCGUCUGAUAGAUCGAAGGGCUUCCAUUAGUCUGCAUAUAGCCCACUCACUAUAUAACCAGACACAAACCCUAAUUUUUAGGAGGUGUCCCAUCCAUCCCCCAAGCCGCCGCCACUCCUCUUGUCUCUUCCUCCUCAGGUUCAUCGCCGAUCCAAAUCCCCUCCUCGCUUUCACCACCACACCAACCCGAGCCAGUCACCUCUCCUUCCACUUAGCCUCUCCAUCGGGAUCCAUCCCGUUCAACCAACGAGCCCCCUCCUCCUGCUUUGUUCCCCGAAGGGAUCGAGAGAGUUGCCGCCGCCUUGUCACCUCCCGUGCCUCUCGACCCCCGCCUCCUCUGCACGCAUCUCGCCGGAGCAAGCUCACCCCGAUCCAGUCGCUGCCGGUGAACAGUGGCAGAAACCGAGGCCCGCUGCGUUUCCCCGCUCUUUCCUUCUUGUCCACCCCCUUCCCCUGUCUCUCCCUCACAUCUCUCUCUCUCUGCAGGAGACUGCCGUCGCGCCCUCUGCCAUGGAGCUCGCCUCCAUCGUCAGCACCGCACGAGGGCCCCGCCGUCCCCGACCUCCCCGCGGCCCACCUCACCUCGUCAUCCUUCUCUCCUCGCGACCGCGAGCCUGUCGUCGGACGCGCCUCCUCUGGUUCCCGAGGCCGAGUCACCCCGUGCCCGCAACCCCGCGUCGACCCCCUGCCUCAUCUGCGUCGUCGGAGCCCCGAGGAGUUUGCACCGUCCAUUCCCGCGUCCCGCUCGUCCUGGAGUUCCCUGCUUCACCAAGACCACCGCCGCCGCUUCGCUCGAGCGACUGCAGCCUCGGGAGGAGCCCGAGAGCCUCCUCCUGCUCGACCCUGCUGCCUCGCUGCAGACCUCUUCCAGUGUGGACCUCGCCGGAGCUCCGCAGGUCGCCAUGCGCCCCUGCUCCUCCUUCCCUUUCCCUCUCUUCCUCCCUGACUUUUUCUCAUGCCCGUGUCCUGUAGGAGCUCAUCGCGCGCCGACCGUUCCGAGAUCCAAUCCGCGACUCCCGUUGCCGGAAUUGAACCCAGGCACCUCCCCGCGCUCAGUUCCGCCGUCCUCGACCGGUUCCUGCUUGCCCUCGCCCGCACAAGUCCCUCGUCGCGCCGCCUUCGUCAAGUCCCUGCCGUGGCUCUGCUUUCUGACAAGAACAGGGCGAGGUGCCCGCUUGCCCGCUCGCCUGUUCCUUCCCCGUUGACUUUUCAUCGAUGGAUUGCAACGCCCUGGCCCAGCGCGCCAGCCUCCCUGGUUCACCGUCGAACUGGGCCCAAGGCCUCGAAGGCCCAUUGUGAGCAGCUCCCAAAUCCGCCCAGAUUCAGCCUGCCUAUGUUUUUUUCAUGCCCUGUGAAUUUGUCUAUUUAUCCAGGAGUUUGCAGUUUUACAGAAAAGCCCUCAUACAUCAUGCAUAUAAUAACUUAACAACCGUGCAUCGGUUUAAAAUGAUUUAUAUAUGAAACAUGACUAGAAUUUCAUCUAGUUUCGUAAUAUGUCAUUUUGAUCCAUGUUUAAAAUGUUUAAAAUGCUGUUUGUUUAAAUUUGCUUAAAUAACUUGCUAAAAUGAUUUAUUUCAUAACUAAAUAACCGUAGCUCCGAAUUUAACAAACUUUAUAUGUAAAUGGGGUAGAAUUUUGCAUAGUUUAACAUGGUGCACUCUUCUUGCAUGUUUAACAACUAUAAAAUUGUGUUUAGGGCAGAACAGUACCAUAACCAAAAUAUGCACAUGCGGAGUUUCCGGACUUGUUGUUUGUUGUUCCGGCCUCAUUUAACCUUGCCUAGAUAGGUAGUUUUCAUUUGCUUCACCUCUUGCCAUGUUAAUCAACAUUUAAUAUUGUUGGGUACAUAAACGAGAUCGAACUAAAUAACUUGUUGUGGAGUUUCGUCACUAUGCAACUCGUUGCAUAUUGAGCUCCACUUACCAUGUAGUUUUGCUUGUGCACUUUGCCAUGCCAUGAAUCAUUAAACCGGACAUGCAUCAAACUUGGUUGUGCAUCAUGCCAUGUUUAUGUGGUGGUUGUUUACUAUGUUGUUUGCUUCUUUCCGGUGUUGCUUCUUCGGGUUGGUUCUGAUAACAUCGUGAUUGUGAGGACUCGUUCGUCUACGUCCGUUUGUCUUCUUCAUGGACUCGUUCUUCUUCCUUGCAGGAUUUCAGGCAAGAUGACCAUACCCUCAAAAUCCCUUCUAUCUUUGCUUGCUAGUUGCUCGCUCUUUUGCUAUGCCUAUGUUGCGAUACCUACCGCUUGCUUAUCAUGCCUCCCAUAUUGUUGAACCAAGCCUCUAACCCACCUUGUCCUAGCAAACCGUUGUUUGGCUAUGUUACCGCUUUGCUCAUCCCCUCUUAUAGCAUUGUUAGUUGCAGGUGAAGAUUGAAGUUUGUUCC
RNAcentral lists this long non-coding RNA (9379 nucleotides) under Triticum aestivum (bread wheat). RNAcentral's name for it is "long non-coding RNA (TAES_LNC001485)". Lineage: Eukaryota; Viridiplantae; Streptophyta; Magnoliopsida; Poales; Poaceae. The record is from RNAcentral.